UACAGAGGUCUCGAGCGUUGUUCGGAUUCAUUGGGCGUAAAGGGCGCGUAGGCGGCGGGGUAAGUCUGGUGUGAAAUCUCGGAGCUCAACUCCGAAAUUGCACUGGAUACUGCUCUGCUAGAGGGCUGGAGAGGAGAUCGGAAUUCACGGUGUAGCAGUGAAGUGCGUAGAUAUCGUGAGGAACACCGGUGGCGAGGGCGGCAUCCUGGACCGGCAUUGACGCUGAGGAGCGAAAGCCAGGGGAGCAAACGGG
Molecule: ribosomal RNA, 253 nt
Filed under: uncultured bacterium
Lineage: Bacteria
Description: partial 16S ribosomal RNA
Rfam family: Bacterial small subunit ribosomal RNA
Source: RNAcentral